GUAAAACUCUUUCGCCUGUGAUGAUAAUGACAGUAAGCAGGUAAAGAAACCCCGGCUAACUCCGUNCCAGCAGCCGCGGUAAUACGGAGGGGGUUAGCGUUGUUCGGAAUUACUGGGCGUAAAGCGCACGUAGGCGGAUUAGAAANUUAGAGGUGAAAUCCCGGGGCUCAACCCCGGAACUGCCUUUAAAACUACUAGUCUAGAGUUCGAGAGAGGUGAGUGGAAUUCCGAGUGUAGAGGUGAAAUUCGUAGAUAUUCGGAGGAACACCAGUGGCGAAGGCGGCUCACUGGCUCGAUACUGACGCUGAGGUGCGAAAGUGUGGGGAGCAAACAGGAUUAGAUACCCUGGUAGUCCACACCGUAAACGAUGAAUGCCAGUCGUCGGGUAGUAUACUAUUCGGUGACACACCUAACGGAU
RNAcentral lists this ribosomal RNA (418 nucleotides) under uncultured Alphaproteobacteria bacterium. RNAcentral describes it as "bacterial SSU rRNA". It matches the Rfam family "Bacterial small subunit ribosomal RNA", at positions 425 to 860 of the family's 1533-position model. Lineage: Bacteria; Pseudomonadati; Pseudomonadota; Alphaproteobacteria. The record is from RNAcentral.